CAAGUACUCCCUCUGUCCGGAAAUACUUGUUAUCAAAAUGAAUAAAAAGGGAUGUAUCUAGAUGUAUUUUAGUUCUAGAGACACCCUUUUUUGUCCAUUUUGAUGACAAGUUUUUUUGGACGGAGGGAGUAUAAU
This is a non-coding RNA of Triticum aestivum (bread wheat), 135 nucleotides long. NCBI's taxonomy places the organism in Eukaryota, Viridiplantae, Streptophyta, Magnoliopsida, Poales, Poaceae. The record is from Rfam.